GUUCGCCACGCUGUCUUACCGGACACACUCUUGGCUCUACUUAGAGCCUAGCACCUUGAGAGGCUGACCCUUCCAAUAAAACCAGCAAGAUAACUGCUUAAGGCCAUGGACAAGAGAGCAGGGACUUCUGCAUAAGGAAAGUUCCCGAGCAAGUCUGGCUAUCAUCAGAGCCAGCCAGAGGAUGUGAGACCCCCUGAAACUGGAGUUACAGAGAUGUCAUGGACAGAGUGUGCACCUAUCCUGGACAGAAUCACUUUGGGAGAAGAGAGAAGAUUGCUGGAGUUAGCACAUCAGCAUUCGGCCUCUCAUUGCUGUCAGCACACACCUCAUGACGAGCAUUUCAAGAGGCUUUGCCGAAUGCCUGGAGCUCUGCUGUCUCCUCCAGUUCCAUCAAAACCACGGAAAACUAUAAAUCGAAAAAGACCACUGGUGGUUAACGUAGAGAGAAGGCAAAGCCAGCAAAACCCUCAGCUGUGCCUUGAAGUUGAGAGCCAGGCUGGGGUCCCACGCUAGGUUCUCAGAGCCAGGUGUGAAGGCCAGGGUGGAGGAGUGAGACAGGCACUUGGGAAGCUGAGGCAGGAGGAUCCUGAGUUCAAGGCCAAUUUGGGGUACAUAAUAAAACCUUGCUCCAGCAAGGUGGUGGUGCACACCAUUAAUCCCAGCA
Molecule: long non-coding RNA, 664 nt
Organism: Arvicola amphibius (Eurasian water vole)
Lineage: Eukaryota; Metazoa; Chordata; Mammalia; Rodentia; Cricetidae
Exons: 3
Source: RefSeq, a predicted model, not a curated record